GGAGUGGGCAGUGCAGUCUCCACCCAGUCCCCUGGAGUUGUUGUCUGCAGGAGCCAGCUGCUAUGUGAUUCGUCCAGCUCUCUGAGAACUUCCUGCUGGAGUGACCACACCUACAACCCUGUGGUGCCCAGCUGGUACCAGCCUCAUCUGCCAGGCGUUCCUGCACUGUGACCUUGAACAUCUGACUAGUCCAGCCACCCCAGGUUUCCCAUGCAACCUGAUGUACGGUUCCCGGUCCCUGAUGUCCUCCUUGGCUAAACUGGGGGAAACAGAAACCUUACCAGAUGCCUGUGACCUAGGGCCUAGUGAGCACCAUGGAACUCGGCUUCUGAUGUCCCGUUUGCAGGACACUGAAAUUUCCAGCAGGAAUUGGCAUCAUCCUUUCUCAUUAUGCGACAUCUCUGAAAGGUCCUUGCUCAGAGGGAAAAAGAAACCCUUGAUCUUAGAGACAGAAGACGUGAGUGUCAAUCCAGAGAUGGGAGACAGAAAACGGGACCACAAAGCCUCAGGACAGACUUGGCCUCCUGGGCAGUGUCACCUAAGGCCUAGGUGCACCCCCGAUCCCCAGUGUCCUGGCCCACACAGGCUGCAUGACGCACUUCCUUCUCCAACACCGAUCCCAACCCGGAUCCUCCAGAAGUGGAGACCUUUUAAGAACCAUCAUGCACUGGGGUAGGGACAGGGAGGCGCAGCCUGGGCUCUGGACCGAUGUCUGCCACCUGAUCCCCGCGGCCCAGACUGAGACACUCAGCCAGAAGUGAGAGAGGUUGAGCUGAUAUUUUACUCAUGUGCAGAAUCCACACAGCUCCCGGUUUCUAUGAAAUAACUGCAUGGUAAUUCCUGUUCAUCUAGGACAGAAUGGUUUACAAAGCAAGACCCAGUCCUCCUGCACCCUGAGUGGGGUGAGUCUCUAGUGUCACAGAUGAGGAAACUGAGGCUCUGAGAGGCCCCAGGUCACCGUGGUGAGGAAAACAGCUUGGCCUGGGGUUUAGGUCCACAUUCAAGUGCCACGAGCCUUCUCCAGCUCUUUCCUGGUGGGUCUCUUCUGGGGUCUCCGUAUCUGUGGGCCUCUCUGCCCCACCACAGGCAGGUUUCCCAAAAGAAAGUCAUCAGCUCAACAGAACUUCCUGCCGAGUGAUGGGGCAAGACGGGCUGCUGGACCCCCGAGUAGAGGAGCCCGCCGGGCGGGCCCUGGAGGCUCCCCCGAGGAUGUGCUGUUGGCAGGUGUGAGAAGAGACUGAGGCCGAGGGAGCCCAAGGGUGGUCCUGAUGUCCCCACUCAGGCAGCCACAAUCGUUGCCAAGCACCAAGGAAGGUUCUGGAAACCGGGUGUGUGGCCUCCAGGGACUGCCACUCUGGCUGCU
Long non-coding RNA from Fukomys damarensis (Damara mole-rat), 1363 nucleotides. RefSeq lists it as uncharacterized. Lineage: Eukaryota; Metazoa; Chordata; Mammalia; Rodentia; Bathyergidae. The record is from RefSeq and is a predicted model, not a curated record. The transcript is spliced from 3 exons.